This 1415-nucleotide ribosomal RNA is filed under the name Mycobacterium sp. Its description in RNAcentral is "bacterial SSU rRNA". It matches the Rfam family "Bacterial small subunit ribosomal RNA". The record is from RNAcentral. Lineage: Bacteria; Bacillati; Actinomycetota; Actinomycetes; Mycobacteriales; Mycobacteriaceae.
CCCCUUCGGGGGUACUCGAGUGGCGAACGGGUGAGUAACACGUGGGUAAUCUGCCCUGCACUUCGGGAUAAGCCUGGGAAACUGGGUCUAAUACCGGAUAGGACCUUUAGGCGCAUGCCUUUUGGUGGAAAGCUUUUGCGGUGUGGGAUGGGCCCGCGGCCUAUCAGCUUGUUGGUGGGGUGACGGCCUACCAAGGCGACGACGGGUAGCCGGCCUGAGAGGGUGUCCGGCCACACUGGGACUGAGAUACGGCCCAGACUCCUACGGGAGGCAGCAGUGGGGAAUAUUGCACAAUGGGCGCAAGCCUGAUGCAGCGACGCCGCGUGGGGGAUGACGGCCUUCGGGUUGUAAACCUCUUUCAGCAGGGACGAAGCGCAAGUGACGGUACCUGCAGAAGAAGCACCGGCCAACUACGUGCCAGCAGCCGCGGUAAUACGUAGGGUGCGAGCGUUGUCCGGAAUUACUGGGCGUAAAGAGCUCGUAGGUGGUUUGUCGCGUUGUUCGUGAAAACCGGGGGCUUAACCCUCGGCGUGCGGGCGAUACGGGCAGACUGGAGUACUGCAGGGGAGACUGGAAUUCCUGGUGUAGCGGUGGAAUGCGCAGAUAUCAGGAGGAACACCGGUGGCGAAGGCGGGUCUCUGGGCAGUAACUGACGCUGAGGAGCGAAAGCGUGGGGAGCGAACAGGAUUAGAUACCCUGGUAGUCCACGCCGUAAACGGUGGGUACUAGGUGUGGGUUUCCUUCCUUGGGAUCCGUGCCGUAGCUAACGCAUUAAGUACCCCGCCUGGGGAGUACGGCCGCAAGGCUAAAACUCAAAGGAAUUGACGGGGGCCCGCACAAGCGGCGGAGCAUGUGGAUUAAUUCGAUGCAACGCGAAGAACCUUACCUGGGUUUGACAUGCACAGGACGCGUCUAGAGAUAGGCGUUCCCUUGUGGCCUGUGUGCAGGUGGUGCAUGGCUGUCGUCAGCUCGUGUCGUGAGAUGUUGGGUUAAGUCCCGCAACGAGCGCAACCCUUGUCUCAUGUUGCCAGCGGGUAAUGCCGGGGACUCGUGAGAGACUGCCGGGGUCAACUCGGAGGAAGGUGGGGAUGACGUCAAGUCAUCAUGCCCCUUAUGUCCAGGGCUUCACACAUGCUACAAUGGCCGGUACAAAGGGCUGCGAUGCCGUAAGGUUAAGCGAAUCCUUUUAAAGCCGGUCUCAGUUCGGAUCGGGGUCUGCAACUCGACCCCGUGAAGUCGGAGUCGCUAGUAAUCGCAGAUCAGCAACGCUGCGGUGAAUACGUUCCCGGGCCUUGUACACACCGCCCGUCACGUCAUGAAAGUCGGUAACACCCGAAGCCAGUGGCCUAACCCUUUGGGAGGGAGCUGUCGAAGGUGGGAUCGGCGAUUGGGACGAAGUCGUAACAAGGUAGCCG